RNAcentral lists this unclassified non-coding RNA (6947 nucleotides) under Hevea brasiliensis (rubber tree). The record is from RNAcentral. Lineage: Eukaryota; Viridiplantae; Streptophyta; Magnoliopsida; Malpighiales; Euphorbiaceae.
UAUGAACUCAUUUUUUAUUAAUCAUGUAAUGGAUUCACUGUAACACAAUGAAAUACAGAAGGACAAUCCUGGCCUAACCAAAAAACCCGCCAGUCCAAGAGAAAACCUUUGUGGAUGUUGAAUCAACUACACAGGCAAAUGCUUCCAAAUUGUGAAAGGAAUACAAUUUGUUUUGAGAAUAAUUUAAUGAAAAAAGCAUACUUGAUUUGUUUGGUAUUUAUUUUAAUCUAAUGCUUCCAAAUCGUCCUUUGAUAAGCAGGAUCCUCAGCCAUACGUGAAUGGAAAGCAAUUUAUAGUUGCUUCUCCUUGCAACUCAAAUAUUAGUUUUUCCAAAGAGCUGAGCAUAUACACCCUAGUCUGAUGAACCACAAUCAAACUCAAGAUCAUUGCAAUAACACAAACACCUGACAUUAUCCCUAAAAGAGAGCAAAAAACAUAUGGAACCCACACAAGUGAUUCCUCCUGAAGAUGCACUGCAAGCACAAAUUCUGAAUUUAACUUUUGGAUGCCAGUUUGUUUCUCUGCAUAGUAGUCAUAUAUACCACUACCAAUAACACCGGAGAACAUUUGAGAGCCGGCAAUACUAGACAGUGUAAGAAAAUUGUACAAGGCCCUGAUGCUGCCACAAGUUUCCAAAUAGCCACCAUUGACCCUGUAAGAAGAUAGAAUUGCUCUUUAAAUAGACCUCCUUUGGAGCCAUUUCACUUAAUCAUUAACACCUAGCGUGCUUCACGCGAUCUGGGUUAAAUGAUGUAACGGAUUCCAAGAUUCUAGACGCUUCUGAAGUAUCCAAAGUUCAAUACAUGUUCGGAUCGGAUAAUUACCUAUCGGGAACACCGUUGACUUGGAUCGUACCUGAACAUUCUCGGGUCAAGUACUUGGAACUCUUUAAUCCAAAUAGUUCCAAGACCACAGCAGGCACAAUUGCCCAAUGAGCACCAUAGCCGAGUCCUAUAAAAAUGCUCACAACCUAAAUUCCCCUGACCACACCAAUGCAUAACAGAAGAGAUGAUCACCAAAACAACAGCCAUGACCAUGGGUCUUGGGAGGCAAAUUUUCUGAUGAUAGCUUAAGAGAAGUGGCCACCACCAACACAGCCAAGAAAGUUCCAAAUGCUGACCAUGGAUACAAAAAUGUUUGCACUGCUAUACCCCAAAGCCAGUAUGAGAGAGAAAAACAUAAGCAGGAAUUCUGCCUUAAUUAAUGCCUGCGUCAAAGUGAGAUCCUCCCCUCUACAUAGAACUUUUCUGCCUGACUCUCACUGCUCCUUCCACAGCUGCUUGGAACAGUUUAGCUUGCAGACGAGCUAUUCGUUUAUGUCUUUAUGAUGCUGGAAGGAACUCCACUUCUGCAAGCUUCUCAUCUUCAACCUUGCUUAGAGGGACCUCAUUUCCAUCCUGCUUCCUACCCAGAUUUACCUCAUCUUUGUACCAAAGAUUGGUUCACAUAAACAAAAUCCUCAAGUAUCAAAACUCCCAGUAAAUAAGGAGCCAGAAUGAGGCAGAUGCUGUAGAUAGAUAAGAAGCUUGAGUUAUCAGAGGGCCUAACUUGUUUGUGAUAAUGAACAUUAGAGCAAUACAACCAUAGAUGGCCCCAGCUGCAACCAUGAAAAUUAAUAAUACUUCAUUACUGAAAUAGAUCAUAUUAUAAAUCUGAGUCAAAGUUGCACCACUCAACCCAGCAAAUCCCUUAAGUAUCCCAACAACAGGACCCCGGCUUUUGGGGAAGUUUUGCACACAAGAAACUAGAGCUGCUGUGUUGAAGUAGGUUUCACCAUUCGUCCCCACAAUACAGCAACACAGAGCAGCAACUAAAAUUCAUAAAAUUUAAUGAAAAUGUCAGCUGAGGAAACUGUGAACCUCUUCUGAUAUCAGGCAUGGGAAGAUAAUUGCUUGAUUAGUUAAUUGAUAGGAUUUUGGACCUAGGAUUAUGUGAUUUACAAUAAACUGAUUACUUCUUGGCAGCAUUAUGGACAUAAAUCCAUAAUUAUUGAUCUUUAACAUAUAUCUAACUUUCCCCUAGGGAUGCCAAAAGUUGAGAAGACAGGCAGAUAGGCAUAAACCAAUAAUCCUGAUCAUUAAGUGCAUCCAUUCUUUGUCAAUGCAAAAUGCAGAUUCUUUAGCAUGCGCACUAUAAAAGAUUAAAUAAAUCACAGAACUAGAUUUUUUAAUCAUUACAAUAAAUAAAUCACAGAUCUAGAUUUUUUAAUCAUUACAUGAUAAACAAUUUAAGUAUGUUUAACAAAAGAAAGCAAAACAUUUCAGAGAAUCAGAAAAUAAUUUCACUAGGCAUUCUUCCAGUGUAACAGUGUAACCUUCAGCUUCUUUCUUGAGACGAUAAGAUAAGAAGUAUAUCAAAUGUUUCUAUUCAGCAAAGAGCAAUAUAUUUGAACCAAACUCACAAGUUCGGUGUAUAAACAAUGAACCUUUGUUAGUAUCAGGAGAAACACAAUUAAGAAACAGACUACUAUUUAGUUUGUGCUAAGUAACAAACUAGUUUCAUUGCUUUAAAAAUUCCAACCCUUUUAUCAAACAAAAGCAAAAUUUGGCAGGGAAGAAAUAGAAUGAUUUUACUCUAUCAAUAUUGAACUAAUUCAUUUUGAAACUCCCAGAAUCAUUAGCUAGAAGUAAAAUAACAUAGCAAUAAAACAACAUAGCAACCUAAUAGAAUAAUUGAUGGUAGUUGCUGAACACAUCCCACACUGAUUUUUUCACUGUGAUUUUCCUGGACAAAGAAGGUUAAAGAAUAAGAAUGCAACAAGAAAGAUCAACCCCCUCAAACUUUAUUUCUUUUUCCCCUGCAAACAUGAAUUUUUUUCUCUGCCUCCUAAAAUUCAUUUUUUCAAGGUUAAGAACUGUGUUGAAAAAGUCAGAUCCCUAUUACAUAUAUCACCAGGUCCUAAGUAUGAAUAUAGUUACUUUCAUUACAUUUGAUCAUGGUAAAAUGGCAACAAGUUGGAUAAGAUAUGCCAAAUUGGAAUGUGAAAUUGAGAACCACAAAAUGAUUCAUUAUGUACCAAUUUGCAAUGUCCAGUGUAGUUGCAAUUUUAAAGAAAUGAGCAAGCAGAUAUCAGCAUGACAGCAUUUCCUAAUGAAUCUGACUAUCAAACUUUACAAAACUAUUGGCCGUGAAAGAACAAAGUUUACUGUUUGAUCAGUUUGUCAAAUUUAGGAUCUUAUUAUGGUUUUGGCAUAUGAAACUGCAUUGAUUGAAGUGCCCAUGUUUAUUUGAAUUAUAUAGAAUUUAUAUGCAUCUAACAAAAUUAUGCUACUACAGAUCUCAAUUCAUGUUCUGAAACCAAGGACUUUUCUUACGAUUUCUCUUUGGAUUUGAAUCACAAACAGCUGAGAAGAGGGUUCUCUUUCCCUAGGUGUCAGCUGAUGAAGGUUGCUACUUCACGUAUUCCCUAGCUAUUUCUCAGAAAGCAAAUUUACCAGUGGAUCAACCAUGAGAUUCAUCAAGGAUUUGCAUGAUCUUACCACUACUACUGCAAGUUCUCAGCUAAUUCUCACAGAGAUAGAUGAUACAAUAUCAUUUUAAACCACUGAUACAAGUACAGAAGAAGAUCAGAAGAUUUAGCAGAGAAGAGAACAAGGAGAUAGAUUCAUUGAGAGAGAAGAGAGAUACACAAGUCCAUAAGAAAGAGAGAAUACAUCAAUACUGAUUGCACAUCAAUUCCAGCUUAUGAGCUCACUACUUAUACAAAUCAACUAACUACUAUUAGACGUGGCAUUCUAUUAAUGAAGACUUCCCUAACAAACUCCUUAAAAAAUAACAACUCCCCAACCAACUAACAGAACAAUCACAACUUCUGUAACAACUAACAAUUUCUCCCACCAUCUUCACCUUCAUCUUCGUAUCAACCACAAAGAGUCAACUUAUUCCUGGGACUAGAUCAUUAUUGUCACUGCCCACCAUAACAAAAACCAAGAUUCUUCAAAAUGCCGAAAGUAAAUACAUACCUUGUCACAAGCCAAAAAGGAUCAAUAAAGAAAAAUCAAAAUUAACCACAACUAAUGAAACUUUUCUCAAAACCCAAUUAUCAAGCUUUCCAUGGAAAUUUAGACAUCACAUAUGCACCAACAAAGAAGUGCCAAGUUAACUGGUAUGAACGAAUGAAUGGAACUCACCACCCAGAGCGGCAAAGAAAGCAAUUUUUUUGAUGACUAUGUCUAAGAGCCAAACCAAUCCAUACCCAACAAAGUUCUGCAACACUGCAAUCAUCAGAAGGGCCCAAAUAGGUAUCCAAUCCCUGCACAUGACUGGAGAUGAAGAAGCUAGAGUAUUACCAGUUGUAACUUGUUUAGAGGUAUGAAUAGCUGUUAAAUAAGGUUGGAUUAAAACCAAUAACUGCCGAAUCUGCUCUUGAGUAAAAGGCACCCUUUGAAUACUAGGUGAAUUAACUUGGCUUGGUGCAUUAUCUGUAUUUCCAGAUGAUUGAUCUUCAACAGUAGCUUGAUUAGCAUAAGAGCCAGAAUUCUUAAACUUGUAUCCAGGAGAAAAUCCAUGCUUCUUAUGGCAUGUAUCUACUGUAUGCCUUUGUUUUCCACAAUAGGUACACACCUUCACAUUACCAGAAUUGUCAGAAAAAAUUCUUAUUAAACUAAUACUGAUUUGUAAUGUUUUGACCCCCGCCAUAGCUAUAACCACUUCCUUUCUGAAAUUCAUUAUUAGUGAAAUUAUUCCUCAUUACUUUAGUAUUAACCAGUGCUUUAGAACUAAGACUCUCUCCAAGAUCCAUUUGUCUCUCUUGUUGAACAAUCAAUGAGAAAACCUUAUUAAUAGAAGGUAGAGAAUCCAAAAGCAUGAUCUGAGAUCUUACAUUAGCAAAUCUGUCAUAUAAUCCCUUAAGAAAAUGAAUCACAUAAUCAUUUCUUUGAUAAGUCUCAAAAAUACCAAUUGCACCACAAGAACAUGGAUUAGGGCAUGAACAUACAGGAAUAGGUCAAAAAUUCAAUAAUUCCUCCCAAAGAAUCUUGAGUUCUGUGAAAUAUUUAGUGACAGACAAAUCACCUUGCUUGAAUCCAUAGAUCUCCUCUUGCAGAUCUGAAAUCCGGAAGAUAUCUCCCUGUGAAAACCUUUCCCUCAGAUCUUUCCAAACAUCAGAAGCUUUAUCGAUCCAUAAGAUGCUUUGUGCAAUAGUUGGUGACAAUGAUCUUGUAAUCCAAGAUAAAACCAUCAUGUUACACCUUUCCCAGGCUGGAUACAACAGAUCUAUAACAGGAGGAACAAGUAUUGUGCCAUCAAUGAACUUGAUUUUGUUCUUUGAGAGUAGUGACAUUCUCAUUGCCCUAGACCAAGAAUGAUAAUUCUUUCCUAUGAGAACUGGAGAAACUAAAACUAAUGCUGGAUUUUCAUUUGGAUGAAGAAAAAAAGGAUUCGAUAGAUUUUGGAGGUAAUCAUUUGUUGUAUUUGUCAUUUCGAAGGAAAAAAAAUUGUUGGGAAAAUUGAGAAAGAAGAUUAAAGAAAAGAAAGCUCUGAUACCAUAUUAGAUUUGUAUGGAAGAGAAGACUGAAUCAAUUGAAUUAAGAAGCUGAGCUCAAAGUCUUAUAUACAAGAAGUUAAGCUAACAAAUUAGAGUAGCGAGAAAUAACAACUUCUCAACUAAGCUAACUGAACUACAACUGAGCUACCUAGCAAACAGUAAUAAAUUAAGCUUAAAUAAGCUAUACAAUAACUGCCAGUAAAUCACACUAUCUAUUUUCUAUAUCCUGUGGUAAAAGUAAGUACCGACAAUCCCUAAUGGAUAUGUAUGUAUGCUUAUUGCAGAAGAAUUUAACUCUGAUAAUAGCCUACAAAGCAUAAUCUCCACAACUAAAUUAUGGAAGUACCUCUGGAUCUCGAUCCACAGAGAAAUCCAUGGGUGUAGCGACGUGGAAUACCCCUGUACACCCUUGAAUUACAUCAUCAAAGCUUCCUUCCUCAACCAGCUCCCCUCUCCACAAACUCAGGUGGGUGCUGGCUUUUGGCAAGUCCAACAAAUGCUUCACCUUGUUCAUGUUUUCUGCAUCCAAACCCAUCAUCAUACCAAGUAUGGCUAGCAACUCCACUAGUUGAUUUCAAGUUUAGUGGGAAUUAACCGCAUAAAUGAAAGAUAAGAAUUUCAAACCAGGAUCGCGCACAGUUGCCCUGACAAAGUAGCCUUGUUCCAGGAGCCUCAUGACAAGCCAAGACCCAAUGAAUCCAGAUGCACCAGUCACGCAAACGAUCUCGCCUUCCAUAUUUUCUUGGUAUUAAUCAAAACUGAAAUUUCUCCAACAGAUGCAGUUCUGGAGAAGAAAAGUCUACAGGAGAUGGAGUUUUAUAUUCAUAAAUGUCAUUUGUCUGUGGAUUCCUACAUCAAAUACCACCAGAAGGAUGGGGUCCUUACAUCAAACUUAUCUUAAUUGGACUGAUGUAAUAUUGAAAAUGAGCCGGCAAGAACAAGCAUUUAUUUAUUCAUUUCUGUUUAACGAGUUCAUUCGUCCCUUAGCUCAGCCAAAUAUUCCAAAUUUCAAUCACUGGAUUUGGUAGGUUACGACCAAUCUCGUCCUUCCUCAUCAUUUUCAAACUCCAAAACACCAUAAAAUCUCCACCAUUUCUUCUUCUCAUUCAGGAAAAAACCCCAAAUUUGUAAACCCAAUUCUAAUUUUUACUUAAUUCCCUCAAAGUACAGGUGAAAAUAUUUUUAUUGGUUUCCUUGCUUCUCAAUGGCAAUGAGAACUUGUGAAGAAGUGUUUGUUGCUUUCUGCUUCAACAUUUUCAGAACUGAAAUCACCAAGUUCUGAGUUUUCAAAAAUCAAGUGCCUUCUGCAAACUGAGAUUGGAUAACUAUUUCUUUCAUUAGUUUCAUGAUCUGUAUAAAACAGGUAUCUGGAGAAUGGAAUAAAUCAUCUCAACCAUCAGUUAAUGAAGAUAAGAUGCUAAGUUGUGACUUCCAUUAUAAUGACAAUUCUCAUAGAUUUUUA